UUUUUUUUUUUAAUGACUUAAAUCCUUAAAAGAAUCUUGUACACGUACAAGUGAAAUGUCCAAAUGAAAUCUUGCACAUCUUCAUUUGGUUAUUCUAUGAGUUGACAUUACUAAAUGUUUAUGCAGUUAUAUUUCCAGAAUUCAUUUUGGUAAGAGAUAUAUAUUUAGUGUGUGUUGGAUUUCAAUUACUAGUUUCUUGAAUUAUGUCCAGCUAAUAAAUGCUCCUUUUCAGUUCUUUUGUGACACUGAUUGUCUGAUUAUAUAGUUUUUUGAGCUCUGUCCCACUCCAAUGAUCUCCUAUUUUCCACGGCAGAAAUGGAAGCCAAGCACUUCAGUCUCUGCCACGCUCUAAGACUUGGCAGAACUGGUACUGCCACUGCUCCCGCGUAAGUUCUGUGACUGUGCGACUUACUCAUUUUUUCUUAUGAAAUACAGAAGCAUUUUGUGGCUUUCUGAGAGGAAAAUCUUGUUGGAGUUCAAUCUGAAUUAUGCAUAACUUCUAAACUGGCUGUUGAAAGUUAUUAUUGAAUUAGUUUAUCAUUUGUAACACCUGUGCACAUGCCUCCGCCUACACUAGGAAAUGGGGAUUCGAGUCAGUGUUUAUGGGAAGCCCUUUAGGCUCUGCCUGACCAUGUGUCUCCCCGGGCCCCCACAUUCCCUCCCUGCCACCUCCUCCAGGCCACUCUCUAGCUGGUUGGAAUAUGCUUUCGUGUAGACUUUGGCCUUGAACCUUAUUCUUUUUCCUUCACUUCCCUUUUUAUCGUUCACAUCACAUCCUUUUGACAUGUUGCUUAAUUUCCAACUGGGGCCCUAAUAGGUGCCAUUUUUUUCUACUGCUUUGAUUCGAUUAUCUUACUCCCCUGUCUUCCUCUUCCAGCUCUAGACCCCAGAACUCCAGCCAGAGCCGGAAGAUGUUUACCCUCCCAGGUACUGAUGCACCUUACUAUGUUUGUGCAAAACAUUUAUACUUAUCAAUAUUUUGUUAUUUUUAUUAUGAAUCUAUGUCUUGCUAUUUUUAUCACAGUGCUUUUGUGUGUGUGGGUGUGUGGGUGUGUGUUAUACGGAGGGCAGGUCCUUCCUCUUGCCUUUCCAUUUAUUAUUACUAGAUUAAAAUAUUACUGAUUUCUUCUGUAUUAAAACUGACAUGUCUUCUCCAUUCAAACAUUACUGCUAUUAGUUUUUAGCAAUUCUCGGAAGGGUUCUAAGUAUAUGGGCUCUACCUACAGAUGAUAAAACACUGCUUCAUCCUCUCCAGUACUUGUUGUCCUCAUCUAUGGGAGCACAGGGCACAGCAUCACUGUCCAGACAUCACACCCACAAGAGUGAGCUUUGGUGCCGUGGGCGAUGACAAAGCACCUUGCUCAGUGAUGGAGGCUACGGAGGUACAUGCAAUCAGCGGACCUGAGAUGCUCACUGGGGACCUCUAGAAAUAAUAAGAGGAUUUUCAGUGUGGGAAAUACACAUGGAAGGUGAAGACCAGAGCCCAAAAAAUCUAGUUUAUUCCUAGGUCCCGUUUAUUAUGAUAUGCCCUUUGUGACCAGAGGAAGUAAAGCAGACAUCAACUAUGAAAAUACACAAGAAUGGAACCGUUUCAGUGAGAGCUAAAAAUGAAGAACGACAGAUUUCCUGGAAAUAGCAAAGAAGAAGGCAAAGAGUCAGUUAAGGAUGAAGUGAAAUCUCAAACCUCAAUCCUACAGAAAUGACAUAAAGAACAACUAGCAAGUCUAAACAUUAACUUAGAAAGCAAAGGUUUAGAAUUUCCCAGACCUUAGAAUUUAAAAAACUGGUUUAUUCCUCCUUUAAAAAUUUUUAAGGACUGACAUAGACUGUUUUAAAAAAUUACCAUUUGUUCAUAGGAGAAAAAAAAGAAGAAUGUUUUAAAAAAUGACCACUUGUUCAUAGGAGAAAAAAAAACAUUUCGUAACCAAAACUUUAGGAAUGGCACAGGCUAUGAGUAAAGAAGAGUUUUAUAAAUUUAAAACACUCCUCUUCAUCAGGAACUCACUUUAUUGCCCUGGUAUUUCUAAAUUAGCCAGAGAUAAAUGCGCACCUCAUCAGGGUCUGGCGGGUCCACUGACCCGUGUAAGGACAUCACACCAGGGAGAUGUCAAAACACUUGACAGCUGCGUGGAUUGGGUACCAACCAACCACAGUAAACGCCACCAUUUAAACGGACAUUAACCACGGACGGCCCGUUGAAAAUAAAACCUGAGGAGGAUCACAGGUAUGAACCUAAUCUGCGCACAACUGUGGUAUCGGAGGAGACAUGGGGGAAAGCGAAAAUAGCCACAAUUAUGAAACUAAGACACCAACCUAAAAUAAGGCUCUUGCAUUGAUGAAAGUGUGUGUCCUAGAGUUGGAGAUUCAGCGUUGUCUCCCUCACUAACGCAAAGGAAGAGAGAGUUACUAACACGCUACUUAGGUUUCAGACAACAAAUGCAAAGAACCUGAAAUUCAGGCACCUCAGAUGAGAGGAGACCUGACAUUCAAAGGUGGGAAGAAAAGAAAAUCUUUCCUUUUAUAAUUUAAAGAUUAGAGGAUGAAGAGACUUAGACAACACUCAUGGGAUGUGUUUUUUCAUCACAGAUCAAUUACCUUGCUAAGUUGCUGUUCUCUUUGAAGGAAGAAAGCAUUUCCAAAAUCACAAUAAGAGAAAAGUCCCUGCCUCCAGCAAAUACCCAAUGAUGCGCUGAGCUGGUUUUACAGAGAGGAUCACGCGGGGGGGAGGCAACAGCCACCAUCCUGACCCGGGGGCUAACGGGACCACUGUGACGUGCAAAAUACACUCUGCUCACCUCGGGGCCUCAGAAAUGGGGCCAUAAAUGGUUUCAAGAUUACUGAGAAAUUACAAGGAAGAUUAGGUACAGGUGGGUAAGUGUGCAGUAAAGGAAAAAGAGCUAAAUAGUCAAAUAAAAUGAAAAUGAAAUAAAACAAACUCUAGUUCUCCCGAAGACCAUGCAAUGACUCUUUUUUUAAGUAAGACUAUAUAUUUAGAGAAAUACAAGGUUCACAGAAAAACUGAGGGCAAAGGGACAGAGAUUUCUCAUAUAGCCCCUGCCCCACACAUGCAUAACCCACCCCACUUUCCAUUAUCAAUAUCUCAACAGAGCAUUUGUUACAAACGAUGAAACUACACUGAUACGUCACAACACCCAAAGGCCAUCCUUUACACUGUAAUCCACUCUUGGGGUUUACAUUCUAUGGGUUUGGACCAACGUAUGAAAACAUGUACCGAUCAUUACAGGGUCACACAGUAUUUUCACUGCCCUAAAAAUACUCCAUGCUCUCUGUCUACUCAUUGUCCCAACACGUGCCAACCACUGAUCUUUUCACUCUUCCAGAACACCGUACGGUUGGAAUCCCAUAGUACAGAGCCUUUGCAGUCUGGCUUCUUUCUCUUGGUGGUAAACAGUCAAGGCUCCUUCAUAUUUUCUCAGCUUGAUGGCUCAUUUUUUUAAGCACUGAAUGAUACUCCAUUGUCUGGAGGGUCCACAGUUUACUUGCCCACUGACCUACGGAAGGACAUCUUAGUUGCUUCCCAGUUUGGGCAAUUAUGAAUAAGACUGUAACAAACACCUGUUGUGCAGGUUUUUGCGUGGACAUACCUUUUCAACUCCUCUGGGUAAAUACCAAGGAGUACAACUGUGGAUCAUACGGUAAGGCUGUGCUUAGUUUUGUAAGAAAUCACCAAACUGACUUCUAAAGUGGGUCCAUCACUUUGCAUCCCCACCAGCAAUAGACAUGGGUUCCUGCUGCUCACAUCUUUGCCAGUAUUUGCUGCUCUCAGUGUUCCAGAUUUCAGCUCUUCUAAUAGGUGUAUAGGGGUAUCUGGCUGUUUUAAUUUGCAUUUCCCCGAUGAUAUAUGAUGUGGAGCAUCUUUCCAUACGCUUAUUCAUCAUCCAUAUAUGUAUUUUUUGAUGAGGCACCUGUUAAAGUCUUUGACAUAUUUUAAAUUGGGUUAUUUGUUUUCUUAUUUAAUUUUAAGAGCUCUUUGUAUAUCAUGGAUAACAGUUCUUUACCAUAUGUGUCUCUUGGAAAUAUUUACUCUCAGUUGGUGGCCUGGACUCACAUUCUCUUGAUAUUGUCUGUUGAAGAGCAGAAGCUGUUAAUUUUACUGAAGUCCACCUUAUCAAUUAUUUCUUUCAUAGACCAUGUAUUUGCUGUUGUAUCUAAAAAGUUAUCCUCAUCCCAAGAUCACCUAGGUUUGCGCCAUUCCUAUCUUCUAGGAGUUUUAUUGUAUUACGUUUUACUUUUAUUUAUUUUUUUAGGGCCACACCCACGGCACACGAAGGUCCCCAAGCUAGAGGUUGAAUUGGAGCUGUAGCUGCCAGCCUACAGCACAGCCAAAGCAACGUGGGAUCCAAGCCACGUCUAUGACCUACACCACAGUUCACAGCAACACUGAAUCCUUAACCUACUGAGAGAGGCCAGUGAUCGAACCUGCAUCCUCACGGAUGCUAGCUGGGUUCGUUAACCUCUGAGCCAUGACAGGAACUCCUAUGUUUUACUUUUAGAUCUGUGAUUCAUUUUCAGUUAAUGUUUGCGAAGGGUAUAUGCAAAUCUUUUAAACUAUUUAUUAAAAGACAUCGAAAUUAAAUAAACAUAUUUAGGUAUGAAGCUUAGAUUUUUUUAAAAGUUAAUUAGCUCUCUGUGGAGAAGACUAAAGAAAUAUUCAUGUAGUUACCCUUCGGCUGAGAAAUCUCAGUUCUAGAAUCUCCCCUUCACCUACAUCUCCGCAAACAUCAUACGACAAAGGCACACGGUUAUUCAGCGAAGCAUUUUUAUCACAGCAAAAUCUACUGAAAGGUGAGAGAAUACAAAUUCCUGUUAGUAGGAACACGGUUAAACAAGCUACAUCCACCUAAUAGAAUAUUAUGCAGCUAAAAAAUAAUUAGAAAGAUUUAUAUGAAUUGACAUAUGGAGUCAUUUCUGUUUUAGUUUCCAUAUUUAAGAUUUUAAAAGGUGCAAAAGAACGUAUACAGAGAAUGCUUCCUUUUGUAUAAGAAAGAAGAAAAAAUAAAACUAUAAAUACAUGCCUACUUUUACAAAAAGAAACACGAGAAGGAUAAACCAGAAACUACUGACCGCGGUUACCUAAGAUGAGGGCUCAUUUCAAUAGUUGUGCGGAGUGUGGGAGCAGAGAAGAGGAGAUGAGGCUGGGAGCUAGUACCUAAGGAGCCAGUACCUAAGGAGCCAGCACCUAAGGAGCCAGCACCUAAGGGUGUCUUUAGUUAAAGACACCUUUCACAUACUUUACCUUUAUUUGAGUAUACAUUUUUAUACAGCUUUGAUUUUUUAAAAAAUGUGAAUGCUUUCUACAUUCAAAAAUAAAAUUAAAUAACAAGUAUCUAAAAGGAAAACACCUAAAUUGAAUAUAAGGUUAAGGAAAUAAAUCUAACUAAACGAAGUUGGUGGGAAACGGAAUUUUUUUCGAAAGACUUUCAACAUAGCACUGGCUUUCCUCCUCUAGUAGCAUCUACUCUGAGGAAAAGAAUGAACUGCAAAGAAACCCCGAGCUAUUUACAAUACUUGGUUUUUAGUAGUAAUAUUAGUAUUGAGAAUAUGUAGGUACCAAGGUUUGCACUGUAACAAAAAAGAAAGAAAAACAGGAUAUAAACAAAUCUAAUAAACUGAUGUUAAAUCUUAAUGGGAAAUAUUAAUAAGAACUAAUGAUUCCACAUACAAGCUUUCUAGCUCAGUUGGGGUCAGGUGAACAUGGUCCGGAUAUUAGGUGAUGCUGUAGAUUAUUUUUAGUUUUUUAAGGUGUGGCAAUGAUAUUGUACUUACAUAGGAGGAUUUCUUUGUUCUUCGGAUACUUAAGGCUAUGUGUGGAUUCUGGGGUGGAGUCCAUGGCAUUCGCAACUUACUUUCAAAUGGAUCAGUAAAAAUAGAUUAUUAUGUUUUUAAUGCUCAAACCGUCCAAAAUUUAGCCAGAGAGAGACCAAGACCAGAGACAGAGAGACAGACAGAAAGCGAGAGGAAGCAAAAUCCUAAUAAGACUGACUUAUGAAGAAAGAGAAAAAUCUGAAUAGUAUUGCAACAAUUCAGUAAAUUUGAUCUGUAAUAUGAAAGUUUUCUAAAGGCAAAAAUGUGAGCCUAAAUGUCUUAGUGAAUCAAUUCUAUCCAAAUGUCAGGAAGAAAUAAAGCCAAAGCAGUGGACGCUCUUCCAGAGAAUUGAAAAAAGGGGGCACACUUCCCUCUAUGCUUGAGGAGGCCAGAAUAAAUUUGACCCCCAAGCUUAGCAAAGACAUUAUAAGAAAAGAAAAUUAUAGGCCAUUUUCAUUAAUAAAGAUAAAUGCAAAAUUCCAAACAAUAUUAGCAAAUUAGAGGUUCCAUUUCCAGGAGUGGUAGAAUAGGUUGUAUCAGAAUGACCUUCUAAUGAUCUCUGCCUAGUAAUGGUCAUCAACUCUGACCCAAGAGUGACCCAAUGCAGCCAAACAUCACAGGGCACAUGAGCCUUGAAAGAAAGGCAACACACGGGCUUAAUUUACACGUACUGACUUCGCACCUAAGGGCUCCCCUAAUUCAGUGCUGCACGCAGGAACAGAGCUCAGGAAGAGAGCAGCAGGCUUGCUGGGCA
This 6580-nucleotide long non-coding RNA is filed under the name Sus scrofa (pig). RNAcentral describes it as "lncRNA (ENSSSCG00040038561.1)". The record is from RNAcentral. Lineage: Eukaryota; Metazoa; Chordata; Mammalia; Artiodactyla; Suidae.